This 405-nucleotide unclassified non-coding RNA is filed under the name soil metagenome. RNAcentral's name for it is "partial contains 5.8S ribosomal RNA, internal transcribed spacer 2, and large subunit ribosomal RNA". The stretch from base 1 to 121 matches the Rfam family "5.8S ribosomal RNA", at positions 35 to 154 of the family's 154-position model. The record is from RNAcentral.
GAUGAAGAACGUAGCGAAAUGCGAUAAGUAAUGUGAAUUGCAGAAUUCAGUGAAUCAUCGAAUCUUUGAACGCACCUUGCGCCCUUUGGCCAUUCCGAAGGGCAUGCCUGUUUGUGUAUCAUGAACACCUCAACUCUUUAUGGUUUUCCAUGAUGAGCUUGGACUCUGGGGGUUUUGCUGGCUCACAGUCGGCUCCUCUAAAAUGAAUCAGCUUACCAGUGUUUGGUGGGUAUCAUGGGUGUGAUAACUAUCUACGCUUGUGGUUUUUCCACCAGGUAACCUUCAGCAGUGGAGGUUCGCUGGAGCUCAUAGAUGUCUCUCCUCAGUGAGGACAGCCCUUUGAAUGUUUGAUCUCAAAUCAGGUAGGACUACCCGCUGAACUUAAGCAUAUCAAUAAGCGGAGGA